GACGAACCGUACGAACGUUAUUCGGAAUCACUGGGCUUAAAGGGUGCGUAGGCGGCGUGUCGCGUCGGGAGUGAAAGACCGGGGCUUAACCCCGGUUCUGCUUCCGGUACGGGCAUGCUGGAGUGUGGCAGGGGAGACUGGAAUUCCUGAUGUAGCGGUGGAAUGCGCAGAUAUCAGGAGGAACACCGGUGGCGAAGGCGGGUCUCUGGGCCAUUACUGACGCUGAGGAGCGAAAGCGUGGGGAGCGAACAGG
This 253-nucleotide ribosomal RNA is filed under the name uncultured bacterium. Its description in RNAcentral is "partial 16S ribosomal RNA". It matches the Rfam family "Bacterial small subunit ribosomal RNA", at positions 524 to 776 of the family's 1533-position model. The record is from RNAcentral.